Molecule: ribosomal RNA, 497 nt
Filed under: uncultured bacterium
Lineage: Bacteria
Description: partial 16S ribosomal RNA
Rfam family: Bacterial small subunit ribosomal RNA
Source: RNAcentral
GAUGAACGCUGGCGGCGUGCCUAAUACAUGCAAGUCGAGCGAACGGACGAGAAGCUUGUUUCUCUGAUGUUAGCGGCGGACGGGUGAGUAACACGUGGAUAACCUACCUAUAAGACUGGGAUAACUUCGGGAAACCGUAGCUAAUACCGGAUAAUAUUUUGAACCGCAUGGUUCAAAAGUGAAAGACUGUCUUGCUGUCACUUAUAGAUGGAUCCGCGCUGCAUUAGCUAGUUGGUAAGGUAACGGCUUACCAAGGCAACGAUGCGUAGCCGACCUGAGAGAGUGAUCGGCCACACUGGAACUGAGACACGGUCCAGACUCCUACGGGAGGCAGCAGUAGGGAAUCUUCCGCAGUGGGCGAAAGCCUGACGGAGCGACGCCGCGUGAGUGAUGAAGGUCUUCGGAUCGUAAAACUCUGUUAUUAGGGAAAAACAUAUGUGUAAGUAACUGUGCACAUCUUGACGGUACCUAAUCAGAAAGCCACGGCUAACUACGUG